UACGAAGGGGGCUAGCGUUGUUCGGAAUUACUGGGCGUAAAGCGCGCGCAGGCGGCUAUCCAAGUCAGUGGUGAAGGCCCGGAGCUCAACUCCGGAACUGCCAUUGAAACUGUUUAGCUUGAGGAUGAGAGAGGUGAGUGGAAAUUCCCAGUGUAGAGGUGAAAUUCGUAGAUAUUGGGAAGAACACCGGUGGCGAAGGCGGCUCACUGGCUCAUUACUGGCGCUCGAGGCGCGAUAGCGUGGGGAUCAAACAGG
RNAcentral lists this ribosomal RNA (255 nucleotides) under uncultured bacterium. RNAcentral describes it as "partial 16S ribosomal RNA". It matches the Rfam family "Bacterial small subunit ribosomal RNA", at positions 524 to 776 of the family's 1533-position model. The record is from RNAcentral.